RNAcentral lists this ribosomal RNA (540 nucleotides) under Streptomyces mirabilis. RNAcentral describes it as "partial 16S ribosomal RNA". It matches the Rfam family "Bacterial small subunit ribosomal RNA", at positions 72 to 805 of the family's 1533-position model. The record is from RNAcentral. Lineage: Bacteria; Bacillati; Actinomycetota; Actinomycetes; Kitasatosporales; Streptomycetaceae.
GGGUCUAAUACCGGAUACUGACCNUCGCAGGCAUCUGCGAGGUUCGAAAGCUCCGGCGGUCCUUCACUCUGGGACAAGCCCUGGAAACGGGGUCUAAUACCGGAUAAUACCUGCCUNGGCAUCUGGGUGGGUUGAAAGCUCCGGCGGUGAAGGAUGAGCCCGCGGCCUAUCAGCUUGUUGCGGGUAGCCGGCCUGAGAGGGCGACCGGCCACACUGGGACUGAGACACGGCCCAGACUCCACUGGGACUGAGACACGGCCCAGACUCCUACGGNAGGCAGCAGUGGGGAAUAUUGCACAACGUGAGGGAUGACGGCCUUCGGGUUGUAAACCUCUUNCAGCAGGGAAGAAGCGANAGUGAACGUGCCAGCAGCCGCGGUAAUACGUAGGGUGCGAGCGUUGUCCGGAAUUAUUGGGCGUAUGCGCAGAUAUCAGGAGGAACACCGGUGGCGAAGGCGGAUCUCUGGGCCAUUACUGACGCCUGAGGAGCGAAAGCGUGGGGAGCGAACAGGAUUAGAUACCCUGGUAGUCCACGCCGUAA